Molecule: small RNA, 123 nt
Filed under: Nitratireductor basaltis
Lineage: Bacteria; Pseudomonadati; Pseudomonadota; Alphaproteobacteria; Hyphomicrobiales; Phyllobacteriaceae
Description: Rhizobiales sRNA Atu_C8
Rfam family: Rhizobiales sRNA Atu_C8
Source: Rfam by way of RNAcentral
CAUGAUGAAGAAAAUUCUUAUCGUAGUAGGAACGCACAUGGGCAAGGCGGCGUAGCCGCCGGGCGAGAGCCACUCAUGUGCGAAAGACAGGCUCCCACCGGGGGCCUUUUUUAUUGGCCAGAC